This is a non-coding RNA of Podarcis lilfordi (Lilford's wall lizard), 70 nucleotides long. The record is from the annotation of a GenBank genome assembly. NCBI's taxonomy places the organism in Eukaryota, Metazoa, Chordata, Lepidosauria, Squamata, Lacertidae.
GGCCAUGGAUUGGUGGCAGAGCACUUGCUCUGCGUGCAGAAGGGCCCAGGUUCAAUCCCUGGAAGCAUCU